GGCGUCAUAGCUCAGUUGGUAGAGCAAAGGACUGAAAAUCCUUGUGUCCCCGGUUCGAUUCCUGGUGACGCCA
Molecule: transfer RNA, 73 nt
Filed under: Paludibacter sp.
Lineage: Bacteria; Pseudomonadati; Bacteroidota; Bacteroidia; Bacteroidales; Paludibacteraceae
Also listed under: 1 other name
Description: tRNA-Phe
Rfam family: tRNA
About the family: Transfer RNA (tRNA) molecules are approximately 80 nucleotides in length. Their secondary structure includes four short double-helical elements and three loops (D, anti-codon, and T loops).
Source: RNAcentral